Molecule: ribosomal RNA, 220 nt
Filed under: Staphylococcus hyicus
Lineage: Bacteria; Bacillati; Bacillota; Bacilli; Caryophanales; Staphylococcaceae
Description: partial 16S ribosomal RNA
Rfam family: Bacterial small subunit ribosomal RNA
Source: RNAcentral
CAAACCGGAGGAAGGUGGGGAUGACGUCAAAUCAUCAUGCCCCUUAUGAUUUGGGCUACACACGUGCUACAAUGGACAAUACAAAGGGCAGCGAAACCGCGAGGUCAAGCAAAUCCCAUAAAGUUGUGCUCAGUUCGGAUUGUAGUCUGCAACUCGACUACAUGAAGCUGGAAUCGCUAGUAAUCGUAGAUCAGCAUGCUACGGUGAAUACGUUCCCGGG